This 1980-nucleotide ribosomal RNA is filed under the name Triticum aestivum (bread wheat). RNAcentral's name for it is "partial small subunit ribosomal RNA". Lineage: Eukaryota; Viridiplantae; Streptophyta; Magnoliopsida; Poales; Poaceae. The record is from RNAcentral.
AUGCAGUUCGAGCAAGGCAUGGCGACAAUCCUGCUGCUCCUACUCAGCAGCCUCACACCAUUCCUGGCGGCAGCCGAUGUAUUCUGCGACAACGUUAAGGUCCUUGCUGCCACCCUCCCCAACAAAACCUCCACUUCCCCAGUACACUUUGCCACUGCCACCGUCGGCCAAGCCCCCGACAUCGUGUAUGCGCUUGCGCUCUGCCGUGGUGAUGUCCUCAAUGACACAACCUGUGCCGAGUGCAUCACCAACGUAUUCGGCAAAGUGCAGAACGCUAUGCCGCCAGAGGUAGAGUGCUUCAGGGCUGCCUCCUACUUUGCUGAUUGUAUCCUCAUCUACAACUCCAAAGACAUCCUCGCCCCGUCAUUCACCAAUAGCACAGAAGGAGAAAAUGGUGGCGACCCUCCUUUUGAGAGGUGGAAUGUCAGAAAUGUCACCGGCAACGUGCCUCUCAUCACCGGUCUCAUGCACGAGCUGCUGGUGGAGACUGUGGAGAAGGCAGCCAGCGCGUCGCCGAGGCGGUUCGCCACCGGUGUCGUGGACAGUGGCACAAACUUCCCGAAGGUGUACUCCUUGGCGCAGUGCACGCCGGACCUGUCUUCCGGGGACUGUCUAGAGUGCUUGCAACAUCUCCUUGGCAUGAUCAACUCCACCAUGUCCCUCCGCAUGUGGGAACAGAUGGGUGUGAUACGGUGUUAUUUCAGGUAUGAUGCGUCUCAGUUCUAUCAAGGCCAACCAAUGAUAAGUCUGGGGCCGCUAGCUCCAACUCCGACCCAACACAAGAGGCGUAUGAACAAGCUGUGGGUAAUUCCCAUAGUUUUAAUACCUCUAGCUGCAGCAACAUUUCUCUUCUUCAUCUUGUACUAUCGUCGGAUCACAAAACAAAGAAAAGGUGAAGUGAUGAGGUUACAAGGAUCAAGACGUUCUCGGUAUUUGGAAGGAGAGGAACAACUAGUUUGGCAAGGCAAAAAUUCAGAGUUCAUGGUGUUUGACUUCCAACAGCUACUACAGGCCACAAAUAAUUUUUCGGAAGAAAACAAACUUGGACAGGGUGGAUUUGGUGCUGUAUACAAGGGCAAGCUUGCUGAUGGAUUGGAGAUAGCAGUUAAAAGACUUUCUUCACAUUCAGGACAAGGCUUCAUAGAAUUUAAAAAUGAAGUCCAGCUCAUAGCCAAACUACAACACAGUAAUUUGGUUAGGCUCUUUGGAUGUUGCUCCCUAGAAGAGGAGAAAAUAUUAGUGUAUGAAUACUUGCCCAACAAAAGCUUGGAUUUCUUUAUCUUUGAUGAAAAAAGAAGAGCUUUACUUGAUUGGUCCAAACUUGUAGCAAUAGUGGAAGGCAUAGCACAUGGACUUCUUUACCUACAUAAGCACUCCCGGUUACGUAUCAUACAUCGAGAUCUUAAACCAAGUAACAUUCUCUUGGAUAGCGAAAUGAAUCCAAAGAUUUCAGAUUUUGGUCUAGCAAAAAUUUCCAGCUCAGAUAGCAGUGAAGGAAACACUACUAGAAGAGUGGUUGGUACAUAUGGCUACAUGUCCCCUGAGUAUGCUUCGGAGGGUGUCUUCUCUAUUAAAUCGGACGUCUUCAGUUUUGGUGUUAUUAUUUUUGAGAUACUUAGCGGAAAGCGGAAUUCUGGUAGCCAGCAAUAUGGUGAUUUCAUCAAUCUUCUUGGAUAUGCAUGGCAAUUAUGGGAAGAGGGAAGGGGAAUUGACCUUCUUGAUACAUCAUUGGUUCCCAAAGAUCAAUCGCCGAAGAUUAUGAGAUACAUUAAUAUAGCAUUAUUAUGUGUACAAGAGAACGCAGCCGAUCGGCCAACCAUGACAGAUGUUAUAGCAAUGCUAUGCACCGACGAUAUGAACAUCGACGAACCUAAGCAGCCGGCAUAUUUCAACAUAAGGGUCGGAAAUGAAGAGGAGUCUACUGCCACAGAGUCAUGUAGUAUUAACGACAUGACCAUAUCUGUCGCAAUUCCUAGAUAG